ACGAACGCUGGCGGCGUGCUUAAGACAUGCAAGUCGAACGGGGUCCAUCCUUCGGGAGAAGACCUAGUGGCGAACGGGUGAGUAACACGUGAGCAACCUGCCCCAAAGACAGGGAUAAGCGAGGGAAACUUCGUCUAAUACCUGAUGCCCUUCAUUCAUCACAUGUUGGUUGAAGGAAAUGAUUUAUCGCUUUGGGAGGGGCUCGCGGCCUAUCAGCUUGUUGGUGGGGUAAUGGCCUACCAAGGCGUCGACGGGUAGCUGGUCUGAGAGGAUGAUCAGCCACACUGGGACUGAGAUACGGCCCAGACUCCUACGGGAGGCAGCAGUUAGGAAUCUUGCGCAAUGGGCGAAAGCCUGACGCAGCAACGCCGCGUGGGGGAUGAAUGGUUUCGGCUUGUAAACCCCUUUCAGCAGGAACGAAAUUGACGGUACCUGCAGAAGAAGCUCCGGCCAACUACGU
This 460-nucleotide ribosomal RNA is filed under the name uncultured bacterium. Its description in RNAcentral is "bacterial SSU rRNA". It matches the Rfam family "Bacterial small subunit ribosomal RNA", at positions 29 to 506 of the family's 1533-position model. The record is from RNAcentral.